Molecule: ribosomal RNA, 439 nt
Filed under: uncultured bacterium
Lineage: Bacteria
Description: partial 16S ribosomal RNA
Rfam family: Bacterial small subunit ribosomal RNA
Source: RNAcentral
CCUACGGGUGGCUGCAGUGGGGGAUAUUGCACAAUGGGCGAAAGCCUGAUGCAGCAACGCCGCGUGAGCGAUGAAGGCCUUCGGGUCGUAAAGCUCUGUCCUCAGGGAAGAUAAUGACGGUACUUGAGGAGGAAGCCCCGGCUAACUACGUGCCAGCAGCCGCGGUAAUACGUAGGGGGCUAGCGUUAUCCGGAUUUACUGGGCGUAAAGGGGGCGUAGGUGGCUUCUUAAGUCAGAGGUGAAAGGCUAGGGCGAAACCGGAGAACGCCUUUGAAACUGGGAAGCUUGAGUGCAGGAGGGGAGAGUGGAAUUCCUGGUGUAGCGGUGAAAUGCGUAGAUAUUAGGAGGAACACCAGUGGCGAAGGCGGCUCUCUGGACUGCAACUGACAUUGAGGCACGAAAGCGUGGGGAGCAAACAGGAUUAGAUACCCGGGUAGUC